GACGAACGCUGGCGGCGUGCUUAACACAUGCAAGUCGAACGGAGUGGCGAACGGGUGAGUAACACGUGUGUGAUCUGCCUUGCACUUCGGGAUAAGCUUGGGACACUGGGUCUAAUACCGGAUAGUGCAAGAUGAGCUCGCGGCCUAUCAGCUUGUUGGUGGGGUAAUGGCCUACCAAGGCGUCGACGGGUAGCCGGCCUGAGAGGGUGUACGGCGAAAUUGGGACUGAGAGACGGCGCAGAAUCGUAUGGGAGACAGAAGUGGGGAAGAUUGGACAAUGGGCGGAAGCCGGAUGCAGAGACGCCGCGUGGGGGAUGAAGGUUUUCGGGUUGUAAACUCCAUUAGACAGGGACGCGGUACCUGUAUAAGAAGCACCGGCUAACUACGUGCCAGCAGCCGCGGUAAUUC
Molecule: ribosomal RNA, 408 nt
Filed under: uncultured bacterium
Lineage: Bacteria
Description: partial 16S ribosomal RNA
Rfam family: Bacterial small subunit ribosomal RNA
Source: RNAcentral